Molecule: long non-coding RNA, 2100 nt
Organism: Vicia villosa (hairy vetch)
Lineage: Eukaryota; Viridiplantae; Streptophyta; Magnoliopsida; Fabales; Fabaceae
Exons: 3
Source: RefSeq, a predicted model, not a curated record
AAAUAAGAAUUUCUAGUUACUGAACUUGGUUGCUAAGUUUUUGAUGAUUUUAUUGAUAAUGAAAAUAAUACUAUUGACAACCAAGCAAUUGGGCUCGAGUGGUAAACGAGCUCCUACUAAGCACAUAAAGCAAAAUAAUAAUAAUAAUAAUAAUAAUAAUAAUAAUAAUAAUAAUAAUAAUAGUAAUAAUAAUAAUAAUAUUGGCGAGAUACAUUAAAUGUAGUUGACGAUGAUGAUGAUGAUGAUGAAUAUCCUAUUGCUAACAUCGGGUGUUUCGGUGGAAUAUUGAGUCAUUUUGAUGAACACUCUACAUGUCUCAAGGAGUUAUAGCUAGAUCUUCAUUGAUGAAACAGUUUAUUUGUGUUGAAUAAUAGUUUUGGCAUGCAUUGUUAUAUGUGCAUCUGAAUUAUAGUAUUUCAAUAAUUUUAUCUUAGGAGUAUGAUUGCUUAUCUUAUAUAUGAGUAUGACUGCUUACUCAUUAUUUUACGUCGAUAGAUGAAGAGAUCGCAUGUGAAGAUGGUAUCGAUGCAGAAUCUAAGGAGUGAUCGGCAAUACCGUAUCAGAGGUUGUAUAUUUUGUAUGUAGCCAUUUUUGGCUAGCUUGUUAUGUUAUUUGGAUUUUUAGGAUCGAUUUUCGAAAUUAUGUGUUCUAAUAUUUGAUUUUAGCAUGCUUGGUUUAUUGUUAUCUCAGCAUUUUGUUUUGUGACUUCUUUAUUGUAAAUGUUUUUAAUUGCACCACAUAUUCUUUAUUGAUGCAAGUUUGUUUUAAGUUAUUGCAGUUACAGUUGAAAUCAUUCAUUGUUUUAUUUUUAGAAAAUUUAUAUUCUUUCUAUCUUUUAGUCUGACAUUGUUGAUUUAAGGUUUUUAUCAAAUCUUUACUGAUUCAUGAUUUUAAAAUUUUACUGUCGGGGAUUUGUACUAAUCUGUCAAGCCUAAUGAUACAAAUUGGAACAUCGGUAUAUAGAACUACUAAAUUGCGUCUGUAGAAAAUCCGUUUUUAAAGGACCAUAAUUCAUUAGCAUCAUAAUGGAUUCGAUAUUUGUAAAUUUUUGUGUGAGAAUUCUGGUUGCCAUAUGUCUGAUGAUCGAAACUGUGUUUGAAAUCUUAUUUUAUUUUACAGAGGAUCAGAAUACGAUUUCCAUUCUUUUAACCAACCAUGACCAAUUGGACUCGGGAAAAUGUCUUGUAAAGGGGGGGUCUUGAAAUUAAUAACCAAAAAGUUGAACCUGAGAACAGCAAACUUGGUGACCUGCAGGAUCCUGAGACUCGAUCAACUGUCGAGAAAAUGAUGUUUGAUCAGAGGUAGAAAUCCAUGGGCCUUCCUACAAGUGAGGAGCUUAAUAAACAAGACAUGAUGAAGAAAUUUAUGAGUCAGCAUCCUGAGCUGGACUUCUUGAGGCCAAAAUCAUCUUAGAAUGGUGCUAUGGUUUUGGCAAAAUAAUCUUUAGUUCACAAACAUGUUUUGGUGAAAACACAUUGCCUUUAUUUGUAUUAAACAUAUUUUAGAGUUUUAGACCUUGCAUAAUUGAAAAGAGAAGCCAACCAAUUUUGCAAACCAACAACAACCUGUCAAGUAAAAUUCAGAUUGAGACAGUUAGCUGCAGCAUGCGCAGAAUUGAGAACACCAACAAACUGAGUCGAACAGAAUGAGCGUGCCGAUUUAGCCUUAUCUUGUUCGAAUCGUCCACCGCCUAUUCUUCCUGCUGCUUUUCUUUUAAAUACUUUUCUAACAUUCUAAUGGAUUUAAACUCCACUUAUAGAAAAUGUAACAAAAUGAUGAGCUUUUCAACCCCAUAAAACAGUACCAGGAAUAUAACUUAAUAUCCUCUACCAACUGAUUCAAAUCAACCAUAUCACCUUUAAAUAUAAUCCUAUUUCUUGCAAGCCAAAUCUUCUAAGAUGUAAUCAUCCAAAUUAAAUUUCUAACUUUUAAAUUUAAUAUUUCCCCAAAAUUUAUGUGGCACCUAAAGCAUAAUGUGGUGUGCUAUUAAAAUGAAUAAAAUGCAAAAAAUUAUUAUGGCACAUGAGACUUUUCACCAACAUUUAACCUAAAUUUCCUAUUGGUGUUGUGAUUCUUCGUAUUUCCUAUUUUCUGUAAUCA